UACGUAGGGUGCAGGCGUUAAUCGGAAUUACUGGGCGUAAAGCGUGCGCAGGCGGCUCCUUAAGUCAGAUGUGAAAGCCCCGGGCUCAACCUGGGAACUGCAUCUGUGACUGCAUCGCUGGAGUGCGGCAGAGGGGGAUGGAAUUCCGCGUGUAGCAGUGAAAUGCGUAGAUAUGCGGAGGAACACCGAUGGCGAAGGCAAUCCCCUGGGCCUGCACUGACGCUCAUGCACGAAAGCGUGGGGAGCAAACAGG
This 253-nucleotide ribosomal RNA is filed under the name uncultured bacterium. Its description in RNAcentral is "partial 16S ribosomal RNA". It matches the Rfam family "Bacterial small subunit ribosomal RNA", at positions 524 to 776 of the family's 1533-position model. The record is from RNAcentral.